GACCUAACUAGCCUAUUGCUGUUAGACAAUUCUGCCUUUUACUUAUUUAAGAACAAAGCUGAGGAGGAAGAAUGAGUGAUGCAUCCAUGUAGAAGACCUUUGGAUGGUUUCUCCAAAUGAUAGACUCCUUGGAAAUCAGCUGUAGUUCCCUUUCCCUGGAAUACAUGACUGCAUCAGGAAACCUCUGCAGCAGCAUUAAUGUGUGUUCAAGGCACAAUGCAUCAGAGGUUCAUCUUCAGGGCUGGAUAUCCAGUCUUCAUCUGCUCUGCAUUCUUUCUGAUGAGAGAAGAGGACGCGCUUUAACAGUGAAAUGUACAGAACUUGGAGGCUUAUUUCCACAAGAUGCUUAGGUGACAUCUGGGCUACUAAAUUAAGCUGAAUAGCCCUGGACACUGGAACUAACUCAUCUCGGUGCCCCCUGAUGUGGAUUUUACCUAUAAAAGCUAUCUUUCUUCCUAAUAACUUGGGGACCUGUUUAGGAAGCCUGGGAGUUAGAUCACUCCCAAUAGAGAGUUUGCAUGAAGCCAGAGAGUUGUGUUAGACCUAAAGCCUCAUGCCUUCCUAGCGUAAACGAUGUUAUGAUUUGUGAUGCUUUGGGAGUUAAUUUAUGUCAACCAGCUGAAAUGUGAAAUUUAUGUGAACCAGCUCUUGGAGCUUCAUAAAACUCAGUGAGAACUUCAGGCAGUGAAUCCACAUAAUUUGGUCUUAUUAGCUUGACUUUCAUUUUGUAUAAACCUAUAGAGAAGCUUGAUUUCCAUAGAAAAUUGUCAUCUUCCACCUUUUGAAAGAAAAUCUCAGGGUCUGAUCAGCUGCUCUUGCUCAGUUCUCUUGAAGUAUACAAGCCUGCAAGGGAGAUGGCUGGUGUGACACCUGUAACAGCAGUGAAACUGCACAGGCAAGUCCCAGCUGCUGAGCGUGCCCUUCACACUUUAUGAGUGAGUUGCAGGAAGGAUCACUGCAGAAGUUGGUAUUUUGUGUUGAAAGCUGCUUUUUAUUCACCUUCUCUGAGUCUCCUUGAUAUCAGAGGCCUGUAGAAGUUUGUAAGGAACUGGACACACUACCUGUGGUGAUGUCCUGUUUCAGAGUCUGAAUGUGGCAUAUGGUUGUACUGGGAACGUCAGGAGCAUCGAGACAUCACGUCUGCCAUUAUGUUACGGACUAUCUGAAAGCAAAUGGUAUUGCCUGCCAUUGCUGUGUCUGGGCAGAAGGUCAACACUCAAACUCCUGAUGUUCACACCAAGACUGAAAGGGUAAGUGGGCUCCAUGUGCCGGGGUCUGUGUUCUCAUCUUGCAGACCCCCAAAAGCCAUUCCUGUGGGUUGACUCAAGCAUCUGGUGAAUAUGGAGAAGA
Molecule: long non-coding RNA, 1350 nt
Filed under: Anser brachyrhynchus (Pink-footed goose)
Lineage: Eukaryota; Metazoa; Chordata; Aves; Anseriformes; Anatidae
Description: lncRNA (ENSABRG00000009325.1)
Source: RNAcentral